AAAGUGAAAAAACAGCUGCCAGACCAGGAAGAGAGGCCUCCUUCCUCCUGCAAGAUGCCUUCAGUGCCUCUACUGACAAAGCUUAACAUUGUGCUCUUUGUAAAGGAGAAAAGAAUCCAGAUCAUCAUAGUGGAGCAGGCAGUGAAGGGGAAUUGGGAGCUGAGAGGCAGCAAAUUGAUAACAGAAGCUUCCCACGUUGCUGUCGAGAUUUCUGAUUCAAGUACUUUGAGUCUGGAAUCAUUUUUCCUCAUUGGGAACUUUUAGAAUUCCUUCCAUUUCGCUGGUGUUCUGAAGUUUCAAGAUGAGCCACGGCACUUUGAUUUGAGCUUCUCUGCUCUGCAAGGUCAUAUACAAUUUUCCAUUUGUUUCCUGCCCUCAUACAUUGUGGUUCAAGUGUACGGAUGUCUCCUAGCUUCACCUGGACAGAGUAUGCUUCUGCCUUGUGUCCUUAAAGUUAUUUGGAUGGUUUCCAAUAGGAAAAACAAUUCAAAAGUCUUUAUUCUGCCACAUUAAAACCAGAAAUCCCAUUUUUUUCAUUUGAUCAUCUUGACAACUCAAAGAAGUGGGUGUCGAUAUCCCCAAUUUGUAGAAGGGAAAAUUAAAGUAGAGACUUGGAUUCAGCGAGACUCUUGACAAUAUGUCUACUAUGACCUGGGAGGGGAUUCAGUGACAAACAAACAGAGAUGGUUCCUGGCUUCAAGGAGCUCCCAGUUUGGUCGAUUUGAUCAUAUAAAGAGGUCAUUUGUUAGAGUGUGAAGACUGCUGUGCGUUAUCUGUGUCACUCAGUACAAGCCUCAUCUCGUGAAAGCAGGGAGCGAAGGCCUUCAGAGGAAGCAGAAUGAGAGGCAACAGAGGAAAUGUGAUCGAACCUCCCUGCUGGAUGACACUUCAUUGUGGGCCUGACCACCUCAUCACAGCUUUCCAAGCCCUUUGGAAGGUCUUUCCUGCUGAGCUGGUUUCUCAACUCUGGGCUGCCCUCCCACUUAUCAGCUGCAGGCCAAGCCUGACUCCCCAGCAUGCAUGAUGCACAAUAUUGCCCUGAGUCAUGAAAGAAAGCUGUUCUUACAUUACCAAGGUCACAUGCAGACAGGGAAAAGCAGUACAAGAAGCACAACAGACUAAGUCUGAGUCCUUGCUUUGCCACUUACUAGCUGCGUGACCCUGGGCAAGUUGCUGAAUCUGUCU
This is a long non-coding RNA of Equus quagga, 1185 nucleotides long. RefSeq lists it as uncharacterized. The transcript has 3 exons. The record is from RefSeq and is a predicted model, not a curated record. Lineage: Eukaryota; Metazoa; Chordata; Mammalia; Perissodactyla; Equidae.